GUGCCAGCAGCCGCGGUAAUACGUAGGGAGCUAGCGUUGUCCGGAAUUAUUGGGCGUAAAGCGCGCGCAGGCGGUUCUUUAAGUCUGAUGUGAAAUCUUGCGGCUCAACCGCAAGCGGUCAUUGGAAACUGGGGAACUUGAGUGCAGAAGAGGAAAGCGGAAUUCCACGUGUAGCGGUGAAAUGCGUAGAGAUGUGGAGGAACACCAGUGGCGAAGGCGGCUUUCUGGUCUGUAACUGACGCUGAGGCGCGAAAGCGUGGGGAGCAAACAGGAUUAGAUACCCUGGUAGUCCACGCCGUAAACGAUGAGUGCUAAGUGUUGGAGGGUUUCCGCCCUCCAGUGCUGCAGCUAACGCAUUAAGCACUCCGCCUGGGGAGUACGGUCGCAAGACUGAAACUCAAAUAAAUUGACGG
Molecule: ribosomal RNA, 413 nt
Filed under: uncultured bacterium
Lineage: Bacteria
Description: bacterial SSU rRNA
Rfam family: Bacterial small subunit ribosomal RNA
Source: RNAcentral